CCUACGUGAGGCAGCAGUGGGGAAUAUUGCACAAUGGGGGAAACCCUGAUGCAGCGACGCCGCGUGAGUGAAGAAGUAUUUCGGUAUGUAAAGCUCUAUCAGCAGGGAAGAAGACAGACGGUACCUGACUACGAAGCCCCGGCUAACUACGUGACAGCCGCCGCGGUAAUACGUAGGGGGCAAGCGUUAUCCGGAUUUACUGGGUGUAAAGGGAGCGUAGACGGCUUGGCAAGUCUGAAGGGAAAGUCCAGGGCUCAACCCUGGGACUGCUGUGGAAACUGUGGAGCUAGAGUGCUGGAGAGGUAAGUGGAAUUCGAGGUGUAGCAGUGAAAUGCGUAGAUAUCUGGAGGAACAUCAGUGGCGAAGGCGACUAUCUGGCACAUAACUGACGCUGAGGAGCGAAAGCGUGGGUAGCAAACAGGAUUAGAUACCCGAGUAGUC
RNAcentral lists this ribosomal RNA (441 nucleotides) under uncultured bacterium. Its description in RNAcentral is "partial 16S ribosomal RNA". It matches the Rfam family "Bacterial small subunit ribosomal RNA", at positions 338 to 795 of the family's 1533-position model. The record is from RNAcentral.